AUUCAGCUGACGAGUCUCGAAUAGGAUGAAACGUAUGUCAAACUGGAU
Molecule: non-coding RNA, 48 nt
Filed under: Schistosoma margrebowiei
Lineage: Eukaryota; Metazoa; Platyhelminthes; Trematoda; Strigeidida; Schistosomatidae
Source: RNAcentral